UAGGGAAUCUUCGGCAAUGGACGAAAGUCUGACCGAGCAACGCCGCGUGAGUGAAGAAGGUUUUCGGAUCGUCAAACUCUGUUGUUAGAGAAGAACAAGGACGUUAGUAACUGAACGUCCCCUGACGGUAUCUAACCAGAAAGCCACGGCUAACUACGUGCCAGCAGCCGCGGUAAUACGUAGGUGGCAAGCGUUGUCCGGAUUUAUUGGGCGUAAAGCGAGCGCAGGCGGUUUCUUAAGUCUGAUGUGAAAGCCCCCGGCUCAACCGGGGAGGGUCAUUGGAAGCUGGGAGACUUGAGUGCAGAAGAGGAGAGUGGAAUUCCAUGUGUAGCGGUGAAAUGCGUAGAUAUAUGGAGGAACACCAGUGGCGAAGGCGGCUCGCUGGUCUGUAACUGACGCUGAGGCUCGAAAGCGUGGGGAGCAAACAGG
Molecule: ribosomal RNA, 429 nt
Filed under: Gemmatimonadota bacterium
Lineage: Bacteria; Pseudomonadati; Gemmatimonadota
Description: Gemmatimonadetes bacterium partial 16S ribosomal RNA
Rfam family: Bacterial small subunit ribosomal RNA
Source: RNAcentral